Ricinus communis (castor bean) is the source of this 218-nucleotide long non-coding RNA. RefSeq lists it as uncharacterized. NCBI's taxonomy places the organism in Eukaryota, Viridiplantae, Streptophyta, Magnoliopsida, Malpighiales, Euphorbiaceae. The transcript has 2 exons. The record is from RefSeq and is a predicted model, not a curated record.
CGGACGGAUAGUCUUGUCAAGUGGUUACUGAAAUUUAAAAAUGUGAGGAAAUGUUAGUGCAGUUGUAGAUAGCCUUAGUUGUGCAUUGCUCUUUUUGCAUCAAUCAAUAUUAUCAGGUGGGCCAGAGGAGUUAUCUAAAGCAUUGGGGCAUUUUGGGAACUUGUGUGAAUUAAACUACUGUAUAAAUAUUUCUUAUAUAUAUUAAGUAUGUCAUGCCA